GGGCCCGCACAAGCGGUGGAGCAUGUGGUUUAAUUCGAUGAUACGCGAGGAACCUUACCAGGGCUUAAAUGUAGUGGGACAGGUCUAGAGAUAGACCCUUCUUCGGACUCAUUACAGGUGCUGCAUGGUUGUCGUCAGCUCGUGCCGUGAGGUGUCAGGUUAAGUCCUAUAACGAGCGCAACCCCUGUCGUUAGUUGCCAGCAUUUAAGAUGGGUACUCUAGCGAGACUGCCGGUGCAAACCGUGAGGAAGGUGGGGAUGACGUCAAAUCAUCACGGCCCUUACGUCCUGGCUACACACGUGCUACAAUGGCCGGUACAGAGAGCAGCCACUACGCGAGUAGGCGCG
This 347-nucleotide ribosomal RNA is filed under the name uncultured bacterium. Its description in RNAcentral is "bacterial SSU rRNA". It matches the Rfam family "Bacterial small subunit ribosomal RNA", at positions 917 to 1269 of the family's 1533-position model. The record is from RNAcentral.